UGGUUUCUCUUCAGAUCGUAUAAAUCUUUCACCUUUUACUAAAGAUUUCUGUGGAGAGGAACAAAUUG
This 68-nucleotide small nuclear RNA is filed under the name Fukomys damarensis (Damara mole-rat). Its description in RNAcentral is "U5 spliceosomal RNA (ENSFDAG00000014805.1)". It matches the Rfam family "U5 spliceosomal RNA", at positions 7 to 74 of the family's 117-position model. Rfam says of the family: U5 RNA is a component of both types of known spliceosome. The precise function of this molecule is unknown, though it is known that the 5' loop is required for splice site selection and p220 binding, and that both the 3' stem-loop and the Sm site are important for Sm protein binding and cap methylation. The record is from RNAcentral. Lineage: Eukaryota; Metazoa; Chordata; Mammalia; Rodentia; Bathyergidae.